This 200-nucleotide ribosomal RNA is filed under the name uncultured bacterium. RNAcentral's name for it is "partial 16S ribosomal RNA". It matches the Rfam family "Bacterial small subunit ribosomal RNA", at positions 328 to 539 of the family's 1533-position model. The record is from RNAcentral.
ACGCUCGACACCUACGGGAGGUAGCAGUGGGGAAUAUUGCACAAUGGGGGAAACCCUGAUGCAGCGACGCCGCGUGAAGGAAGAAGUAUCUCGGUAUGUAAACUUCUAUCAGCAGGGAAGAAAGUGACGGUACCUGACUAAGAAGCCCCGGCUAACUACGUGCCAGCAGCCGACGGUAAUCUGAGGCGGGCUGGCAAGGC